Molecule: ribosomal RNA, 330 nt
Filed under: Triticum aestivum (bread wheat)
Lineage: Eukaryota; Viridiplantae; Streptophyta; Magnoliopsida; Poales; Poaceae
Description: partial small subunit ribosomal RNA
Source: RNAcentral
AUGGCCCUCGCGUGUGCAUCUCAUCAUGUGCGCCGCCUCCUCCUCCACCCCGGGGCCGGAGCUCCGGCGAGGUCCUUCUGCGCCCAGCCCUACCAAGCCAAGGUAGGCGUGGUGGAGUUCCUGAACGGGGUCGGCAAGGGGGUGGAGACGCACGCGGCGAAGCUGGAGGAGGCAGUCGACGGCGAACCCCAGAGUGUGCCCGAGACCCGCCCGGUACGGCGCAAGAAGUUCGGUGGCCCCUGCAAGCUUAGAAAGUUGAUUUUGAGCUUUCCUCACAAGUACCGUCUUGGUCUUUCGAAACACCCAGCAGAAGUCUGGAAAGAGCAAUGA